CGCUUGACAUCGAUCCGCCGCCUCCUCCACCGGUCGCCCACCAGGGAUACACCAUCGCUACCCUCACCGCUGCUCGUGCGGAACACGCGGCGUGACAGGCCCGUUUGCGGGAAGCGGCCCUCGUGUGGGAGCGCGAGCGCGAGGCCACCGACGCUAUCGCUGCUCAGAUUGCUGCGGCGGAACAGCUCCUCGCCUACGACCCACGACGGUGGGGUCACCUCCUCUGCCACCAUGGGCGGCACGACCGUCGGAACCGUGCCCCGCACCAUCCCCACGAUGCUCUGGCAUGACCCGGCUAACCCGCUCGUGGCUCAACUCAACCUUCAGGCUGGGAGUGUCCAAAACAUUCGCCUCAUGGUCCACAUCGUCCUGGAGUCAGAGUCGCCAUCCUACGCACGCUGGCGGGACAUCCUCCUACUCACCCUUCGCCGCUACGCCCUCGAUGACCACGUCCUCUGCGAUCCCAUCGGUGUGGCACCGACUACCGCGUGGGUGCGCCUCGACAGCAUCAUGCUCACCUGGAUCGUGGGGACGAUCUCCGUCGACCUACACAGCCUCCUCCGGAACAUUCCUCACGCUCGGGCUGCUUGGCUGGCCAUCAAGGGUCAGUUCCUUGGCAAUGCCGAGGCCCGGGCUCUCCGCCUCGACGCGGCCUUCCGGACUUUUGUCUAGGGGGACCUCAGCGUCAGUGAGUACUGCCGCAAGAUGAAGGCCAUGACAGACUCACUUGGCAAUCUGGGCUGCCCCAUGGAGGACCGCAUGCUCGUCCUCAAUGUUCUUCGCGGCCUCAGCGAUCGCUACACCCACCUCCGGUCGUUGAUCAUGCGCCAGCGCCCCUUCCCUACCUUCCUCCAGGUCCGCGACAACCUUGCCCUGGAGGAGAUCACAAUGGGUACUCAGGCUGCAUUGAUCUCCGGCCCGGGGUCCUCAUCCUCCUCGACAGCCCUGGUAGCUCUCACCCUGAUCCGUCCACCUACUCCGGCACCGUCCGGGCCGAGCAAGGGUGGCGGGGGUUGACGUGGCGGCAGCGGGGGCGAUGGUGGGCGUCGCCGUCGUGGUGGCCGCGGUGGUGGUGGUGGUUCCGACAGUGGUGCCCGUGCCCACGCACCGAUGCCAGGACCUCAGCAGGGAGCGCCUUGGCCCACUUUCCACCACCCGUGGUCAGGACGCAUCUCCAUGUGGCCGUUAUAGGGGCCCGAUUCUGAGGCUCGUCCCCCGGCGGCCAUGUUCGCUGGCGCGCAGCCGGGGUUCACCUCGCCACUGGGGUUUGCCUUCGCUUCUUCGUCACCCUGGACCUCGCCUGCCGCUUCGUCGUGCCCCACACCGUCGCCUGCUCCACCGUCCGGGCUGGUUGGUUGGGACGCAGCCACCCUGGCUGCCUUCCAGACUCCCACUCUGACUCCGCCGAUGGGUCCCGAGUGGAUCGCGGACACCGGUGCUACCUACCACACCACUCCCGACCCUGGUAUACUCACCUCUGUUCGCCCUCCUUCUUCCUCUCUCCCUUCGUCCAUCAUGGUGGCGAAUGGCUCGUGUCUCCUUGUCACAUCUAUGGGCGCCGCCGGCUCUCCCGGCUCUUUUCGCAUUCCCGAUGUUCUUGUCGCUCCUUCUUUGGUCCACAAUCUUCUUUCUAUUCAUCGUUUUACUACUAAUAAUUCUUGUUCUGUCGAGUUUGACUCUUCUGGUCUUACUGUGAAGGACUCGGAAACCCGACGCCCCCUCCUCCGAUGUGAUAGCACCGGCCCCCUAUACACCCUUCGGCUUCCGCAUGCCACCCCUUCUUCGUCUUCGACACCUACCACUGCUGCUGCUUUUGCUGCCACCACGUCUUCUACCACCUGGCAUCGUCGCCUUGGUCACCCCGGACACGAUGCCUUGAUGCAGCUUACUCGUAGUGCCACUAUUCCAUGUACUAGAUCAAAUGAUGAGCAUCUUUGUCAUGCGUGCUAGUUAGGCUGCCAUGUUCAUCUUCCUUUCUGUUCUUCUUCCUUGCAUGCUACUCAUGCAUUUGAUCUUGUACACUGUGAUUUGUGGACUUCACCUAUUACCAGUAUGUCAGGCUACAAAUACUAUCUUGUGGUACUUGAUGAUUUUUCUCAUUAUGUGUGGACUUUUCCUUUGCGUGCCAAGUCUGAGACUUUCCCUGCCCUCCGCCACUUCUUCGCCUGGGUGUCCACUCAGUUCGGCCUCCCCAUUAAGGCCAUUCAGUGUGACAAUGGUCGGGAGUUUGAUAACUCCACCUCCCGCGACUUUUUUCUCUCCCACGGGAUGCAGCUGCGGAUGUCUUGCCCGUAUACCUCCUCCCAAAACGGGAAGGCUGAGCGCAUGAUCCGCAUGACCAACGACACCAUCCGCACUCUUCUUCUCUAGGCACACCUUUCGGCACGCUUCUGGGCCGAGGGCCUCCACACCUCUACCUACCUCCUCAACUGUCUUCCUUCCACUGCAUGCCCGGCCCCCACUCCUCACCAGGCACUCUUCGGUACCCCUCCACGCUAUGACCAUCUUCGUGUCUUCAGGUGUGCAUGUUACCCGAACACUGCUGCUACGGCUCCUCACAAGCUUGCACCCCGGUCCACCCUCUGUGUGUUUCUCGGGUACUCCCUAGACCAUAAGGGCUACCGAUGCUUUGACCUAUCCUCUUGCUGGGUCCUCAUCUCUCGCCAUGUGGUGUUUGAUGAGUUCGUCUUUCCCUACUCCUCCACCACCACACCACCCUCCUCCGACCCUGACCUUGACCUCUUCACUCUUUUUCCGACUGACGCGGUGGUCGAGCCACCUAUUCUUCCUCUCUCUGCAGGUACUCGCUCACCACUUGUCGAUCCUACUCCUAGCCCGGUGCCUUGCCCGGGUCCGAUGGGGUCGCCUACGGUGGUGUCGCCUCUCUGCGGCCCCGUCUCCGCUCGCCCCCGGGCCUAGCGGGGGUGGUGGGUCUGCACCACCUGCGGGGCCGUCGGUACCGACCCCUCCGGCCCGCUUCGCGCAGCCUAUGUGGGUCUACCAGUGCCGGCCUCCGGUGCCCACGUCGCCGGCUGUGGGACCGCCACCGCCGGUCCCUCCAGCACGCUUCGCCCAGCCGGUGUGCGUCUACCAGAGCCGGCUGCCGCCGCUGGGGUUCGCACCUCCACCACCGUCGUCGCCACCACCACCGCCGUCCCUACCCAUGACCUCCCCUCCGGCGGCACCGCCGGUGGCCCAGUCCCCGCCGGGGAUGCCUAUCCCUCCGCCGCGGCACGUGUCGCAACACCGGUGUACCACCCACCGCUCCUUCAUCGCGACCCGCGGCACGUCCAUCCGAUGGUGACGCGGCAUGCGGCUGGUACCCUACCGCCCCGAGCCAUGGCGACCACGACCGGAGACUCCUAGAUUUCUCCAGUACCCUCCUCCGUCCGCACCGCCCUGCUGGACCCCCACUGGCGUAGGGCGAUGGAGGAGGAGUACGCGACGCUCGUCGCCAACCAGACGUGGGAUCUGGUGCCCUGUCCGCCCGGCACCAACGUCGUCACCGGCAAGUGGAUCUGGACUCACAAGCGGUGGGCCGAUGGUACCCUGGAGCGGUACAAGGCUCGCUGGGUCCUUCGGGGCUUCACUUAGUGCCCCGGAGUCGACUACAAUGAGACCUUCAGCCCGGUUGUGAAGCCGACUACUGUCCGCACGGUGCUCUCACUGGCCCUUGCUCGCUCCUGGCCAGUUCACCAGCUCGAUGUCAAGAACGCCUUCCUGCACGACGCCCUCACCGAGACCGUCUACUGAUGUCAGCCUGUGGGGUUCGUAGACUCCUCUCGCCCUGACAUGGUCUGCCGACUCAACAGGUCCCUCUACGGCCUUAAACAGGCCCCCCGAGCGUGGCACCCCAGACUGGCUAUGUUCCUGGUGACACUGGCCUUCGUGGAGGCCAAGUCAGACAUGUCUCUGUUCGUCCACCAUCAUGGAGCAGAGACUGCCUACUUGCUUCUCUACGUGGAUGACAUUGUCCUCACCGCCUCCAGUCAGUCACUUCUUCGCCGCCUCGUCGACGCGCUUCAGCGGGAGUUUCCAGUCUGGGCGUCCUUCAUCAUUUCCUGGGGGUCACUACUGAGCCUCGCCCCUCAGGACUCCUCCUUCACCAGCGGCAAUACACUCUUGACAUUCUAGAGCGGGCCAAGAUGAUUGCCUGCAAGCCCUGCUCUACCCUAGUUGACACGUAGGCGAAGCUUUCUGAGGCCACGGGUGACCCAGUCGAGGACCCCACCGGGUACAGGAGUCUUGCCGGUGCUCUUCAGUACCUCACCUUCACUAGGCCGGACAUCUCCUACGCCGUGCAGCAGAUCUGUCUCCAUAUGCACGACCCCCGAGAGCCCCACCUCACGGAUCUCAAACGCCUCCUUCGCUACCUUCGGGGCACUGUCGACUACAAGCUACUUCUUCACCGGUCUACCUCCUCCGAGCUCGUCGUCUACACCGACGUCGACUGGGCCGGGUGCCCAGACACUCGACGCUCCACCUCCGGCUACGCCGCUUCUUAGGCGGCAAUCUGGUGUCCUGGUCAUCGAAGUGCCAGCCGGUCGUCUCUCGCUCGAGUGCCGAGGCGGAGUACCGUGCUGUGGCCAACGGUGUGGCGGAGGUUGCCUGGCUCCGGUAGCUCCUCGUCGAGCUUCAUAGUCCCCUCUCCAGGAGCACAUUGGUCUACUGCAACAACGUCAGCGCGGUCUACCUCUCCACCAACCCCGUGCAGCACCAGUGGACCAAGCAUGUAGAGAUCGAUCUCCACUUCGUCCGUGAUUAUAUCGCCGCCGGUGCUGUUCGGGUCCUCCACGUCCCGACCACCUCCCAGUUUGCUUAUAUCUUCACCAAGGGCCUUCCGUCCUCGACCUUCGCUGAGUUUCGCUCCAUCCUCAACAUCAGUAGUGGCUAGUUGCGACUGUGGGGGGAUCCUAUGGUGUAAUGUUCGGUGUAAUGUACUCUUCCUUUUUUGAGUCCAGUCUGUAAACUCCGCUGCGACGGAAGUUCAGACUGCGGGGGGGUGUUAGAGUAUAUAUGGUAGGCCCAUGUGACUAGGCCCAUGUGGCCCAUGUAUAAUACUAUAUAGCUACCCAUUAGGGUUAGCCCAAGUAUGGAUUUACACUGCAAUACUCGGCAUGUCGAUGUAAUGCACAUUAUUAACUAAUUUAAUAAUUUUAUAUGGAAGAAAACUAGGUCCAUGUAAACAUCAACUGCUUCUCAUAAAUAUCCCAUAUGCUUGAAUUGCAUAUUCCACACCUCUGAGACUUGCUGAGUCCAAGAGGUCCAAGAUGUCAAGGAAUUGAAGGACUGAACCGUCCAUAUGGUGGUGUUUUGUCUGGUACUACAGUUAGAAAGAGGUGAUCAUUUUUUCGCAUCUCGUGCUCAUCUGUCAUCUGUUAAAAUGAUUGAUUGUGAAACUAAGACAACGCUAAAGUAACAAUAGUUUCUUCACUCCAGUUUUUCUUUUCUAGAUCAUUAUUUUUUAAUCAUCCUCUAUUCAGUUCUGUGUUUCUACAGAUUUGCUUGAGAAUCCAUAGAUAUGCAAAUAAGCAUUUACGUUACAAUUUCAUAUCACUGGUUGAAGGUAGUACAAUACACGGGCUCGAACGAAGUAGUGGAAUUAUGAAUUACAAUGGUUUGAAUUGUUUGGUUUGGUUUUUGUCCCAAAGAAAAUGGGACCAAACUAAGAGAAUUUCUUCUACUUCAAUUAAACUCUAAAACUGAAAUAAGAUAUAAUAUUAUGAGGCUGGUUCAACUCAAGGAAAAUGGCCAUUUGUGAUUUCCUUCUGUCUGGGUUCGUUCAGCCAGUAAAGUCAAGUUUUGGCGGAGAUAAAAAUCCCACCAUAUUAUAUCUCGUCAUAUCAGCAAAUUUUAGACACAAAUUUUCUUAUGAAGAAAUUUGUCACAGACAUGAAAUGUAAAGGUACUGAAAUGAAGUAAUGCAGGCUAGAAUUUAUGAUCAAUGCUGAUAUAAAACAACAGAUGUUUUGUAUUUCUACAGAAAUGAAACAAAUACUCUUUAUCAGAUGACAUGAACUAAGAACUAGUCAUGGUUUCGCUGUGCCUCCUGUUUCGUGUUUGUUAGUUUGGUGGAUUUUUGAUCGACUGUUUGUUUUUUCUUGUAUUUGUCACGGACACCUUGUUGGGUACAAAUUCAUACCACAAGUUGUGCUACAAAGAGCUGCAUCAUCCAAAAUGUGAUGUCUCCCUUCAGUUUGUAAGGUUUCCUCAGAAACCUGAAUGAUCUGCACCACAUACUGAUAAAUUGCAUAUGCAUUAGUAUUUGUACAGAUCCUAACGAAAAGGAGUGGCUUGAUAGAGUACAGAGCCCACCCAUUCUAGGGCCAGAAGUAUUGCCGUUUGCAUGAGCAUGAUUGGACGCGAUGUUGCUGCAACUGUGAAGAAAUGGAGGUUAAGGGAUGAUAUUUCUAACCAUGGCCACUUGGUAAGCUGAAUACUCCUCGGUCUGCAUCUGCCGAAAACUCGUGUAAGGCACAUUGCCAGACUCUUGGCCUCCAUGCUCCGCCUUGAGCAGGGCUGUCUCAUGGGGGAGACAGCCUCCAUCAACAAGACCUCCUGCCCGGUCCCGCCACUGGAAUGCCGACAGAUGCAGCUCUAAAGGUGAAUAUUUCUAAAACUUAUACAUGCUAUUCGCAUUCUACUAUUUUUUCAAUCUUUGAAUACUUAUUAGUUAACUCUGAUUCACCAGCUACAAAUGUAGUUGAUCAUCAGGCUGCAAACAGCCUCCUAGAUAUAGUACAACUGACAAACUAAAACUGGUGUUCUCACAUGUGUUGGUCCAAUGCUAAUCAGGACAAGAUUGUUGUCUAGAAAAAUAAUCACUUAAGUAUAUGGUUUCGAGGUUUGUCUUUAAUUAGCAAAUCAUCAAUAUCUUGGUAGUGAUAAUUCUUGGGCUACUUAUAAUGAUUACAUUGUUCAUGCAUGAGCUGCAGUUUUAUCUCACAACAUACACAAUGCAUCAGGUAUGAUUGGUCAUAACUUAUAUUUUCAUGUCUGACUGCUAUAUGCAGACAUGUAUCUAUUUGUGUUAUCAUUUGCUUGUAUAUAUGCAGCUUAUGUCCAUCAUUCUUCGGGUUUGCAGAUGACUGCAUCUUCGUGUAUGAAGGGCUAUCUAUUCCUGUUUUGUUCAGUUAUGCAGCCUCACGGACUCCUUCCCCUUCUGCUCCCUCGGAUACAAGGCGUGUUAGAGUUUGAGACCGCGAGCAAACGUACCCAUCCAUCCUUUACUCUUUCUCCAAGCCAUAUAGUAUGAGCAUGAACCUAGUAUUAAAUAAAGGAAGAAACUCUUCCAGAGAAGAUUCGAAUGCGCACCCAGCCAUCAGCCGACAUGCAAGAGUUGAGUACUUUCUUCAGAACCAUAGACAGACUUCCAAUAUUCAUCCACCAUUUUUUAGUUCCCAAUGCAUUGUACAUUUCAACACAAAAGAUACAACCACUACUUUAAAAAUGUGCCCUCUACAGAUAACAUACCCAAGCAUGGACCAACUCCAUAGGAGCAAAAACAUCAUAAAAAGAAAAGAAAAAUUAAACAGACACCACCAGAUUAACAGGAUAUGCUUGCUACUGUGUUUUUGCAGGGUGUAAGAUAUACAUCACAAGGCCAGUACGUUCUGCAUCAAUUAUCUUGUCCUUGAGGGUCGCCCUUCCGCUUCGUGGUGCCUCGGGGCCAAGAUGAUUUGUUGGCUCUUGACAAGCGCCUAUCCUCCUGCUCUUGCUUGUCAUCCAAUAACUCGACUGUCAGCUCGGUGGUUGUUUCAGGCCAUGGAGUGCGCUUUGCAGGGACGACGACUUCCAAAGGAAGGGGAGAUUAUCAGGCAACAGCAAACAGAGAUGAAUCCUCCAGAUCCUCCACCGGUUGGAAUCGAUCAAGUGGUUGCUGCCCAAAUGCCGGUAAUACAACAAAUGGCAGAAGUGGUUAACGAAAUGCAAAAUCAGAUAAGACACAAACGCCAGAAAAUACGUCAGGACCGACUGGAGAUGCGACAAACAAUAAGACAAGCACAGUUGGAAAGACAACAACAACGCCCACUAUCUCUACCACCACCACCAGCUCCACCAAGCUACAUAAACAUAUAUAUUACUAAUAUUUGUAAGACCUAAAUGUUACUUUAGUUAGUGGUUGGUAUGAUACUAUUUUAGGAGGAAUAAUAAGGUCUAAUUGACCCCAUGUGUUGCUAAUAAAGUAUGGAUCAUGCUGAGAUUUUGU
Long non-coding RNA from Zea mays, 8209 nucleotides. RefSeq lists it as uncharacterized. The record is from RefSeq and is a predicted model, not a curated record. Lineage: Eukaryota; Viridiplantae; Streptophyta; Magnoliopsida; Poales; Poaceae. The transcript has 6 exons.